UUUCUCUCAAAUAUUUCUCUCUCUACAACUUGAAGAAUAAGAAAGAGUUGGAAAUAGAUCAAGGAAAUUUUUCAGAUCCUCAAGAAUUUUGUGUGCUUUGAUAUCAUGGUGACAUCCGGCAACAAAUGUUGUCAGGUCAUUAAAAGAAAGUAUUAAGACACUAGAUAAUAGGCUUAUCACUCCUGGGGGAGAUCCCAAAUGGUACAGGCCAGGCGAUGUUUAAUAACUUUGAGACUAUUUCUACUUGGGAGCCAAGACACAAUCAAGUCAUUUCGACCACAUUUGAGAGGAAUUCAUCCGCCAGACUGUCUGUCUUGCUAACGAAAUAUUGAAAUGAUGGUGAACCCCUAAAUUGGAUGUUGUCGCAUGUUCAUGCUAAAUUGGGUAUGUAUUCGGUAGGAGAAGUAGGUUGCUUCCACCCUCUAACUUCAUCUAUCCUGGCUGGAUCUACUCUAAUACCCUCCUUGGAUACCGCGUGUCCCACGAAGGCCACAGAACUAUACCAGAACUCAAAUCUUGAGAACUUGGCAUACAACGUCUCUUCGCUCAAUAUUUGAAGUACAAUGCUCAAGUGUCAUACAUGGUCCUCCUCAGUCUUGGAGUAAACCAAUAUGUCAUCGAUGAAAACAUUCACAAAAGAAUCAUGGUAUGGUUUAAACACCCCAUUCAUCAACUUCAUUAAUGUUGCAGGGGCAUUAGUCAACCCGAAGGACAUCACUAGGAACUUAUAAUGUCCAUACUGUGUCUGAAAAGUUGUCUUAGGGAUAUUUAAUGCCCUAAUCUUAAAAUGAUGAUACCCGGACCUCAAAUAUAUCUUGGAGAACAAUGAUUAUCCUUGUAGAUUAUCAAAUAAUAUAUAAAUAGUCACGUCCGAGGA
This is a long non-coding RNA of Solanum pennellii, 877 nucleotides long. RefSeq lists it as uncharacterized. The record is from RefSeq and is a predicted model, not a curated record. Lineage: Eukaryota; Viridiplantae; Streptophyta; Magnoliopsida; Solanales; Solanaceae. The transcript is spliced from 3 exons.